AUUAUAAUUGUGCUAGUUUUUAAUAGGGAUAGACCGAUUACCAAUCAGUUUUUUUGCAAUUAGCAGAUUAUCUGUAUCAGUGUUUUAUUUACCUGAUAACCGAUAAAGUUAAUUCAUCAAAAAGUCCCCUACUCUGGCUC
Molecule: long non-coding RNA, 140 nt
Organism: Etheostoma spectabile (orangethroat darter)
Lineage: Eukaryota; Metazoa; Chordata; Actinopteri; Perciformes; Percidae
Exons: 3
Source: RefSeq, a predicted model, not a curated record